RNAcentral lists this ribosomal RNA (303 nucleotides) under uncultured bacterium. Its description in RNAcentral is "partial 16S ribosomal RNA". It matches the Rfam family "Bacterial small subunit ribosomal RNA", at positions 507 to 809 of the family's 1533-position model. The record is from RNAcentral.
AGCAGUAGCCGCGGGAAUACAGAGGGUGCGAGCGUUAAUCGGAUUUACUGGGCGUAAAGCGUGCGUAGGCGGCUUUUUAAGUCGGAUGUGAAAUCCCUGAGCUUAACUUAGGAAUUGCAUUCGAUACUGGGAAGCUAGAGUAUGGGAGAGGAUGGUAGAAUUCCAGGUGUAGCGGUGAAAUGCGUAGAGAUCUGGAGGAAUACCGAUGGCGAAGGCAGCCAUCUGGCCUAAUACUGACGCUGAGGUACGAAAGCAUGGGGAGCAAACAGGAUUAGAUACCCCCGUAGUCCCUGUCUCUUAUAU